RNAcentral lists this long non-coding RNA (438 nucleotides) under Marmota monax (woodchuck). Lineage: Eukaryota; Metazoa; Chordata; Mammalia; Rodentia; Sciuridae. The record is from RNAcentral.
GAGUUCUCAACAGAGGUUAUAGCAAACACAAAGAUCCUGUGGCAGGAAAGAACUUGCCAGUGUCCAGAGGUAGAACUACAUUGCCAGACACAAACAUACUGACAACAUACACACGAAUAGGCACCAAAGUCUUUCUAAAAUGUUUUGCUAAAUACAUUUUAGAGUCGAUACAAAAGUAUUUAUAAAUAUGGCUACUAUACCAAAAAUAACAGUAUCUCACCAUCCAGUUUCAAAAAUUAAAUAUAACCAUUAAAUUUGAAACCCCCAGAUGCUCCUCCUCCAUCCCAUCCUAUCUCCCCAGAGAAUCCCUAAUUCCUAAACUGAAUUCUGCUUAUUACCUUUACGUCUUUUUGUUUUGUUUUGUUCUUGUUUGGUGAAUUUUGGGGAGUGGGGGGUACUAGAGAUUGAACCCGGGGGUACUUUACCACUGAGCUACAC